AACGACUCUCGGCAACGGAUAUCUCGGCUCUCGCAUCGAUGAAGAACGUAGCGAAAUGCGAUACUUGGUGUGAAUUGCAGAAUCCCGUGAACCAUCGAGUUUUUGAACGCAAGUUGCGCCCGAAGCCUUCGGCUUAGGGCACGUCUGCCUGGGCG
Molecule: ribosomal RNA, 155 nt
Filed under: Silene sordida
Lineage: Eukaryota; Viridiplantae; Streptophyta; Magnoliopsida; Caryophyllales; Caryophyllaceae
Description: 5.8S ribosomal RNA
Rfam family: 5.8S ribosomal RNA
About the family: 5.8S ribosomal RNA (5.8S rRNA) is a component of the large subunit of the eukaryotic ribosome. It is transcribed by RNA polymerase I as part of the 45S precursor that also contains 18S and 28S rRNA.
Source: RNAcentral